GAUUGAAGGGCUGCAGUAUAUUGACUGUACAAAGGUAGCAUAAUCAUUAGUCAUUUAAUUGAUGACUUGUAUGAAGGAUUGGAUGAAAUAUAAACUGUCUCUUUAUUAAUAAUAGAAUUUAAUUUUUUAAUUAAAAAGUUAAAAUAUUUUAAAAAGACGAGAAGACCCUAUAGAGUUUUAUAAAUAAAAUAAUUAAGAUUAUUUAAUUAAAUAAAAUUAAGAUUAUAUUAUUUAUUUUGUUGGGGUGACAGAAAAAUAUAUUUAACUUUUUUUUUAUUUAAAACAUUUAUAAGUGGUUAAAUGAUCCAAUAUUAUUGAUUAUAAGAAAAAAUUACCUUAGGGAUAACAGCGUAAUUUUUUUUUUUAGUUCAAAUAAGAAAAAGAGUUUGCGACCUCGAUGUUGGAUUAAGAUAAAAUUUAAAUGCAGAAG
This 430-nucleotide ribosomal RNA is filed under the name Poeonoma serrata. RNAcentral's name for it is "partial 16S large subunit ribosomal RNA". The record is from RNAcentral. Lineage: Eukaryota; Metazoa; Arthropoda; Insecta; Lepidoptera; Noctuidae.